Molecule: ribosomal RNA, 16 nt
Filed under: Mahatha cf. ornatipes NB-2010
Lineage: Eukaryota; Metazoa; Arthropoda; Malacostraca; Decapoda; Gecarcinucidae
Description: partial 12S ribosomal RNA
Source: RNAcentral
GUAUCUAGAAUUAUAU